This 1495-nucleotide ribosomal RNA is filed under the name metagenome. RNAcentral's name for it is "bacterial SSU rRNA". It matches the Rfam family "Bacterial small subunit ribosomal RNA". The record is from RNAcentral.
AGAGUUUGAUCCUGGCUCAGAUUGAACGCUGGCGGCAUGCCUUACACAUGCAAGUCGAACGGCAGCACGGACUUCGGUCUGGUGGCGAGUGGCGAACGGGUGAGUAAUGCAUCGGAACGUGCCAUUGAGUGGGGGAUAACGUAGCGAAAGUUGCGCUAAUACCGCAUAUUCUGUGAGCAGGAAAGCAGGGGACCGCAAGGCCUUGCGCUCUUUGAGCGGCCGAUGUCAGAUUAGCUAGUUGGUGAGGUAAAGGCUUACCAAGGCGACGAUCUGUAGCGGGUCUGAGAGGAUGAUCCGCCACACUGGAACUGAGACACGGUCCAGACUCCUACGGGAGGCAGCAGUGGGGAAUUUUGGACAAUGGGGGCAACCCUGAUCCAGCCAUGCCGCGUGAGUGAAGAAGGCCUUCGGGUUGUAAAGCUCUUUCGGCCGGGAAGAAAUCGCAUGGGCCAAUACCCCGUGUGGAUGACGGUACCGGAAUAAGAAGCACCGGCUAACUACGUGCCAGCAGCCGCGGUAAUACGUAGGGUGCGAGCGUUAAUCGGAAUUACUGGCGUAAAGCGUGCGCAGGCGGUUUUGUAAGAUAGGCGUGAAGUCCCCGGGCUUAACCUGGGAACUGCGUUUGUGACUGCAAGGCUAGAGUACGGCAGAGGGGGGUGGAAUUCCACGUGUAGCAGUGAAAUGCGUAGAGAUGUGGAGGAACACCAAUGGCGAAGGCAGCCCCCUGGGUCGAUACUGACGCUCAUGCACGAAAGCGUGGGUAGCAAACAGGAUUAGAUACCCUGGUAGUCCACGCCCUAAACUAUGUCAACUAGGUGUUGGGUGGGUAAAACCAUUUAGUACCGUAGCUAACGCGUGAAGUUGACCGCCUGGGGAGUACGGCCGCAAGGUUAAAACUCAAAGGAAUUGACGGGGACCCGCACAAGCGGUGGAUGAUGUGGAUUAAUUCGAUGCAACGCGAAAAACCUUACCUACCCUUGACAUGCCAGGAACUUGCCAGAGAUGGCUUGGUGCCCGAAAGGGAGCCUGGACACAGGUGCUGCAUGGCUGUCGUCAGCUCGUGUCGUGAGAUGUUGGGUUAAGUCCCGCAACGAGCGCAACCCUUGUCGUUAAUUGCCAUCAUUUAGUUGGGCACUUUAACGAGACUGCCGGUGACAAACCGGAGGAAGGUGGGGAUGACGUCAAGUCCUCAUGGCCCUUAUGGGUAGGGCUUCACACGUCAUACAAUGGUCGGUACAAAGGGUUGCCAAGCCGCGAGGCGGAGCCAAUCCCAGAAAGCCGAUCGUAGUCCGGAUUGCAGGCUGCAACUCGCCUGCAUGAAGUCGGAAUCGCUAGUAAUCGUGGAUCAGCAUGUCACGGUGAAUACGUUCCCGGGUCUUGUACACACCGCCCGUCACACCAUGGGAGCGGGUUCCGCCAGAAGUAGGUAGCCUAACCGCAAGGGGGGCGCUUACCACGGCGGGGUUCGUGACUGGGGUGAAGUCGUAACAAGGUA